AGAAUCAACGCUGGCGGCGUGCCUAACACAUGCAAGUCGCACGAGAAAGGGGAGCAAUCCCUGAGUAAAGUGGCGCACGGGUGAGUAACACGUGAAUAAUCUACCUCCGAGUGGGGAAUAACUGAGAGAAAUCUUAGCUAAUACCGCAUAACACUUACGAGUCAAAGCAGCAAUGCGCUUGGAGAGGAGUUCGCGGCCGAUUAGUUAGUUGGCGGGGUAAUGGCCCACCAAGACGAUGAUCGGUAUCCGGCCUGAGAGGGCGCACGGACACACUGGGAACUGAAACACGGUCCAGACUCCUACGGGAGGCAGCAGUGGGGAAUUUUGCGCAAUGGGGGAAACCCUGACGCAGCAACGCCGCGUGGAGGAUGAAGCCCCUUGGGGUGUAAACUCCUUUCGAUCGGGAAGAUAAUGACGGUACCGAUAUAAGAAGCCCCGGCUAACUUCGUGCCAGCAGCCGC
RNAcentral lists this ribosomal RNA (461 nucleotides) under uncultured bacterium. RNAcentral describes it as "SSU rRNA". It matches the Rfam family "Bacterial small subunit ribosomal RNA", at positions 26 to 518 of the family's 1533-position model. The record is from RNAcentral.